UGGGGAAUAUUGCACAAUGGGCGCAAGCCUGAUGCAGCCAUGCCGCGUGUGUGAAGAAGGCCUUCGGGUUGUAAAGCACUUUCAGCGGGGAGGAAGGCGAUAAGGUUAAUAACCUUGUCGAUUGACGUUACCCGCAGAAGAAGCACCGGCUAACUCCGUGCCAGCAGCCGCGGUAAUACGGAGGGUGCAAGCGUUAAUCGGAAUUACUGGGCGUAAAGCGCACGCAGGCGGUUUGUUAAGUCAGAUGUGAAAUCCCCGGGCUCAACCUGGGAACUGCAUCUGAUACUGGCAAGCUUGAGUCUCGUAGAGGGGGGUAGAAUUCCAGGUGUAGCGAUGAAAUGCGUAGAGAUCUGGAGGAAUACCGGUGGCGAAGGCGGCCCCCUGGACGAAGACUGACGCUCAGGUGCGAAAGCGUGGGGAGCAAACAGG
This 429-nucleotide ribosomal RNA is filed under the name Chloroflexota bacterium. RNAcentral's name for it is "Chloroflexi bacterium partial 16S ribosomal RNA". It matches the Rfam family "Bacterial small subunit ribosomal RNA", at positions 355 to 776 of the family's 1533-position model. Lineage: Bacteria; Bacillati; Chloroflexota. The record is from RNAcentral.